RNAcentral lists this ribosomal RNA (515 nucleotides) under uncultured bacterium. RNAcentral describes it as "partial 16S ribosomal RNA". It matches the Rfam family "Bacterial small subunit ribosomal RNA", at positions 28 to 523 of the family's 1533-position model. The record is from RNAcentral.
GACGAACGCUGGCGGCGUGCCUAAUACAUGCAAGUCGAGCGAUGAUUAAAGAUAGCUUGCUAUUUUUAUGAAGAGCGGCGAACGGGUGAGUAACGCGUGGGAAAUCUGCCGAGUAGCGGGGGACAACGUUUGGAAACGAACGCUAAUACCGCAUAACAAUGAGAAUCGCGUGAUUCUUAUUUGAAAGAAGCAAUUGCUUCACUACUUGAUGAUCCCGCGUUGUAUUAGCUAGUUGGUAGUGUAAAGGACUACCAAGGCGAUGAUACAUAGCCGACCGGAGAGGGUGAUCGGCCACACUGGGACUGAGACACGGCCCAGACUCCUACGGGAGGCAGCAGUAGGGAAUCUUCGGCAAUGGGGGCAACCCUGACCGAGCAACGCCGCGUGAGUGAAGAAGGUUUUCGGAUCGUAAAACUCUGUUGUUAGAGAAGAACGUUAAGUAGAGUGGAAAAUUACUUAAGUGACGGUAUCUAACCAGAAAGGGACGGCUAACUACGUGCCAGCCGCCGCAGUAA